RNAcentral lists this ribosomal RNA (479 nucleotides) under uncultured bacterium. RNAcentral describes it as "bacterial SSU rRNA". It matches the Rfam family "Bacterial small subunit ribosomal RNA", at positions 96 to 562 of the family's 1533-position model. The record is from RNAcentral.
UGGCGAACGGGUGAGUAACACGUGGGGAAUCUGCCUAUAAGUGGGGGAUAACAUUCGGAAACGGAUGCUAAUACCGCAUAUAUUCAAAAACCGCAUGGUUUCUGAAAGAAAGACGGCUUUACUGUCGCUUAUAGAUGAUCCCGCGGCGUAUUAGUUAGUUGGUGGGGUAAUGGCCUACCAAGACCAUGAUACGUAGCCGACCUGAGAGGGUGAUCGGCCACACUGGGACUGAGACACAGCCCAGACUCCUACGGGAGGCAGCAGUAGGGAAUCUUCCACAAUGGGUGCAAACCUGAUGGAGCAAUGCCGCGUGAAUGAAGAAGGUCUUCGGAUCGUAAAGUUCUGUUAUUAGAGAAGAACAAGUCAAGGAGUAACUGUCUUGACUUUGACGGUACCUAACCAGAAAGUCACGGCUAACUACGUGCCAGCAGCCGCGGUAAUACGUAGGUGACAAGCGUUGUCCGGAAUUAUUGGGCGUG